UACGGAGGGUGCAAGCGUUAUCCGGAUUUAUUGGGUUUAAAGGGUGCGUAGGCGGUUAUUUAAGUCAGUGGUGAAAGUUUUCGGCUCAACCGGAAAAUUGCCAUUGAUACUGGGUAGCUAGAAUAUGGUUGCUGUGAGUAGAAUGUGUGGUGUAGCGGUGAAAUGCAUAGAUAUCACACAGAAUACCGAUUGCGAAGGCAUCUCACAAAGCCAUCAUUGACGCUGAGGCACGAAAGUGUGGGGAUCAAACAGGAUUAGAUACCCUGGUAGUCCACACUGUAAACGAUGAUAACUAGCUGUUGGCGAUACACAGUCAGUGGCCAAGCGAAAGCGAUAAGUUAUCCACCUGGGGAGUACGACCGCAAGGUUGAA
Molecule: ribosomal RNA, 372 nt
Filed under: uncultured bacterium
Lineage: Bacteria
Description: bacterial SSU rRNA
Rfam family: Bacterial small subunit ribosomal RNA
Source: RNAcentral